UCGGCAAUGGGGGAAACCCUGACCGAGCAACGCCGCGUGAAGGAAGAAGUAAUUCGUUAUGUAAACUUCUGUCAUAGAGGAAGAACGGUGGAUAUAGGGAAUGAUAUCCAAGUGACGGUACUCUAUAAGAAAGCCACGGCUAACUACGUGCCAGCAGCCGCGGUAAUACGUAGGUGGACAGCGUUAUCCGGAAUUAUUGGGCGUAAAGAGGGAGCAGGCGGCACUAAGGGUCUGUGGUGAAAGAUCGAAGCUUAACUUCGGUAAGCCAUGGAAACCGUAGAGCUAGAGUGUGUGAGAGGAUCGUGGAAUUCCAUGUGUAGCGGUGAAAUGCGUAGAUAUAUGGAGGAACACCAGUGGCGAAGGCGACGAUCUGGCGCAUAACUGACGCUCAGUCCCGAAAGCGUGGGGAGCAAAUAGGAUUAGAUACCCUAGUAGUCCACGCCGUAAACGAUGAGUACUAAGUGUUGGGUGUCAAAGCUCAGUGCUGCAGUUAACGCAAUAAGUACUCCGCCUGAGUAGUACGUUCGCAAGAAUGAAACUCAAAGGAAUUGACGGGGGCCCGCACAAGCGGUGGAGCAUGUGGUUUAAUUCGAAGCAACGCGAAGAACCUUACCAGGUCUUGACAUCGAUCUAAAGGCUCCAGAGAUGGAGAGAUAGCUAUAGAGAAGACAGGUGGUGCAUGGUUGUCGUCAGCUCGUGUCGUGAGAUGUUGGGUUAAGUCCCGCAACGAGCGCAACCCCUGUUGCCAGUUGCCAGCAUUAAGUUGGGGACUCUGGCGAGACUGCCGGUGACAAGCCGGAGGAAGGCGGGGAUGACGUCAAAUCAUCAUGCCCCUUAUGACCUGGGCUACACACGUGCUACAAUGGACAGAGCAGAGGGAAGCGAAGCCGCGAGGUGGAGCGAAACCCAUAAAACUGUUCUCAGUUCGGACUGCAGUCUGCAACUCGACUGCACGAAGAUGGAAUCGCUAGUAAUCGCGAAUCAGCAUGUCGCGGUGAAUACGUUCUCGGGCCUUGUACACACCGCCCGUCACACCAUGAGAGUCGGUAACACCCGAAGCCGGUGGCCUAACCGCAAGGAAGGAGCUGUCUAAGGUGGGACUGAUGAUUGGGGUGAAGUCGUAACAAGGUAUCCCUACGGGAACGUGGGGAUG
RNAcentral lists this ribosomal RNA (1153 nucleotides) under human gut metagenome. RNAcentral describes it as "bacterial SSU rRNA". It matches the Rfam family "Bacterial small subunit ribosomal RNA", at positions 365 to 1520 of the family's 1533-position model. The record is from RNAcentral.